UGAGAGCGGCGGACGGGUGAGUAAUGCCUAGGAAUCUGCCUGGUAGUGGGGGAUAACGCUCGGAAACGGACGCUAAUACCGCAUACGUCCUACGGGAGAAAGCAGGGGACCUUCGGGCCUUGCGCUAUCAGAUGAGCCUAGGUCGGAUUAGCUAGUUGGUGAGGUAAUGGCUCACCAAGGCGACGAUCCGUAACUGGUCUGAGAGGAUGAUCAGUCACACUGGAACUGAGACACGGUCCAGACUCCUACGGGAGGCAGCAGUGGGGAAUAUUGGACAAUGGGCGAAAGCCUGAUCCAGCCAUGCCGCGUGUGUGAAGAAGGUCUUCGGAUUGUAAAGCACUUUAAGUUGGGAGGAAGGGCAUUAACCUAAUACGUUGGUGUCUUGACGUUACCGACAGAAUAAGCACCGGCUAACUCUGUGCCAGCAGCCGCGGUAAUACAGAGGGUGCAAGCGUUAAUCGGAAUUACUGGGCGUAAAGCGCGCGUAGGUGGUUCGUUAAGUUGGAUGUGAAA
RNAcentral lists this ribosomal RNA (513 nucleotides) under Pseudomonas sp. Its description in RNAcentral is "bacterial SSU rRNA". It matches the Rfam family "Bacterial small subunit ribosomal RNA", at positions 90 to 599 of the family's 1533-position model. The record is from RNAcentral. Lineage: Bacteria; Pseudomonadati; Pseudomonadota; Gammaproteobacteria; Pseudomonadales; Pseudomonadaceae.